This 909-nucleotide ribosomal RNA is filed under the name Sarcocystis miescheriana. RNAcentral's name for it is "SSU rRNA". It matches the Rfam family "Eukaryotic small subunit ribosomal RNA", at positions 245 to 1099 of the family's 1831-position model. The record is from RNAcentral. Lineage: Eukaryota; Apicomplexa; Conoidasida; Eucoccidiorida; Sarcocystidae.
GGUGAUUCAUAGUAACCGAACGGAUCGCAUUAUAAUUAUCAUUAUUUGAUGAUUGGCGAUAGAUCAUUCAAGUUUCUGACCUAUCAGCUUUCGACGGUAGUGUAUUGGACUACCGUGGCAGUGACGGGUAACGGGGAAUUAGGGUUCGAUUCCGGAGAGGGAGCCUGAGAAACGGCUACCACAUCUAAGGAAGGCAGCAGGCGCGCAAAUUACCCAAUCCUGACUCAGGGAGAUAGUGACAAGAAAUAACAACGCUGGAAAUUUGAUUUCUAGUGAUUGGAAUGAUGGGAAUCCAAACCCCUUUCAGAGUAACAAUUGGAGGGCAAGUCUGGUGCCAGCAGCCGCGGUAAUUCCAGCUCCAAUAGCGUAUAUUAAAGUUGUUGCAGUUAAAAAGCUCGUAGUUGGAUGUCUGUUGGAAGCAAUCAUCAGUCCGCCCUAUUCGAUUAGGGUGUGAAUAUGAUGAAUUCCGGCACAAUUGUCUCCCUAUUGUUAAUAUUCUGAUUGUUAGAUUCAUUUCUAACAAUAAUACGAUUAUUAAUAAUAAGGGGGAAAUGUUACUUUGAGAAAAUUAGAGUGUUUGAAGCAGGCUUUUGUUGCCUUGAAUACUGCAGCAUGGAAUAACAAUAUAGGAUUUCGGUUCUAUUUUGUUGGUUCUUUUUUUAGGACUGAAAUAAUGAUUAAUAGGGACAGUUGGGGGCAUUCGUAUUUAACUGUCAGAGGUGAAAUUCUUAGAUUUGUUAAAGACGAACUACUGCGAAAGCAUUUGCCAAAGAUGUUUUCAUUAAUCAAGAACGAAAGUUAGGGGCUCGAAGACGAUCAGAUACCGUCGUAGUCUUAACCAUAAACUAUGCCGACUAGAGAUAGGAAAUUGUCAUUUUACUUGACUUCUCCUGCACCUUAUGAGAAAUC